Molecule: transfer RNA, 68 nt
Filed under: Marmota monax (woodchuck)
Lineage: Eukaryota; Metazoa; Chordata; Mammalia; Rodentia; Sciuridae
Description: tRNA.Ser
Source: RNAcentral
GGGUUGUGGCUCAGUGGUAGAGUACUCACUUAGAACAUGCAAGGUCCUGGGUUUGAUCCUCAGCUCCA